CCUGCGGUCUGUUUGCUGGGUGAGGAGCGGAGAGGUGACAGCAGCAGAGGCAGAAAAGGCUCCCGGAGCUGAGUGACUCUUGCCCGGUUCCCUGGUCUGAUUACUUGGGGUCCCCUUCGUCAGAGGAAGAUUAUUCCAAAGCACAACUUUUCAAAAGAAUUGGAAUGCUGGAAAGCACUCUCCACAAUUCUGCAUGGUUUGAUUACAUACUUUAUCUUCAGACUGCUCCGCUUGAGGGCUGCUGCUUCUGAAACUGCUCGGAUCCUUCCAGGUAGA
Long non-coding RNA from Lemur catta (Ring-tailed lemur), 276 nucleotides. RefSeq lists it as uncharacterized. NCBI's taxonomy places the organism in Eukaryota, Metazoa, Chordata, Mammalia, Primates, Lemuridae. The transcript has 3 exons. The record is from RefSeq and is a predicted model, not a curated record.